GACGAACGCUGGCGGCGUGCUUAACACAUGCAAGUCGAACGGUAAGGCUCCAGCUUGCUGGGGUACACGAGUGGCGAACGGGUGAGUAACACGUGGGUGACCUGCCCUGCACUUCGGGAUAAGCCUGGGAAACUGGGUCUAAUACCGGAUAGGACCAUGGGGUGGAUACUGUGGUGGAAAGUUUUUUCGGUGUGGGAUGGGCCCGCGGCCUAUCAGCUUGUUGGUGGGGUAAUGGCCUACCAAGGCGGCGACGGGUAGCCGGCCUGAGAGGGUGGACGGCCACAUUGGGACUGAGACACGGCCCAGACUCCUACGGGAGGCAGCAGUGGGGAAUAUUGCACAAUGGGCGGAAGCCUGAUGCAGCGACGCCGCGUGGGGGAUGACGGCCUUCGGGUUGUAAACUCCUUUCACCAUCGACGAAGGGUUUCUGACGGUAGAUGGAGAAGAAGCACCGGCUAACUACGUG
RNAcentral lists this ribosomal RNA (466 nucleotides) under uncultured bacterium. RNAcentral describes it as "partial 16S ribosomal RNA". It matches the Rfam family "Bacterial small subunit ribosomal RNA", at positions 28 to 507 of the family's 1533-position model. The record is from RNAcentral.